AAACCAACAGGGAUUGCCUUAGUAGCGGCGAGUGAAGCGGCAAAAGCUCAAAUUUGAAAUCUGGCUCUUUCAGAGUCCGAGUUGUAAUUUGAAGAAGGUAUCUUUGGGUCUGGCUCUUGUCUAUGUUUCUUGGAACAGAACGUCACAGAGGGUGAGAAUCCCGUGCGAUGAGAUGAUCCAGGCCUAUGUAAAGUUCCUUCGAAGAGUCGAGUUGUUUGGGAAUGCAGCUCUAAGUGGGUGGUAAAUUCCAUCUAAAGCUAAAUAUUGGCGAGAGACCGAUAGCGAACAAGUACAGUGAUGGAAAGAUGAAAAGAACUUUGAAAAGAGAGUGAAAAAGUACGUGAAAUUGUUGAAAGGGAAGGGCUUGAGAUCAGACUUGGUAUUUUGUAUGUUACUUCUUCGGGGGUGGCCUCUACAGUUUAUCGGGCCAGCAUCAGUUUGGGCGGUAGGAGAAUUGCGUUGGAAUGUGGCACGGCUUCGGUUGUGUGUUAUAGCCUUCGUCGAUACUGCCAGCCUAGACUGAGGACUGCGGUUUAUACCUAGGAUGUUGGCAUAAUGAUCUUAAGUCGCCCGUCUUGAAACACGGACCAA
Molecule: ribosomal RNA, 591 nt
Filed under: Candida tropicalis
Lineage: Eukaryota; Fungi; Ascomycota; Pichiomycetes; Serinales; Debaryomycetaceae
Description: eukaryotic LSU rRNA
Rfam family: Eukaryotic large subunit ribosomal RNA
Source: RNAcentral